RNAcentral lists this signal recognition particle RNA (97 nucleotides) under Kingella denitrificans. RNAcentral describes it as "signal recognition particle sRNA small type". It matches the Rfam family "Bacterial small signal recognition particle RNA". From Rfam's summary of the family: The signal recognition particle (SRP) is a universally conserved ribonucleoprotein involved in the co-translational targeting of proteins to membranes. Archaeal SRP consists of a 7S RNA and homologues of the eukaryotic SRP19 and SRP54 proteins. RNAcentral also lists the same sequence under 2 other names. Lineage: Bacteria; Pseudomonadati; Pseudomonadota; Betaproteobacteria; Neisseriales; Neisseriaceae. The record is from RNAcentral.
GGCGGGUCGCCUUGCAUGGUGAUUUUCAGCAACGGGUCAGGGACGGGAGUCAGCAGCCCACUGGAAAAAGUCAGUGCCAAGGGUUCGGCUCGCCUCC